AUGGAGCUUUGUUGGCAAAAAUCCAUCCAUGGCUCUUAAAGAAGCUUGGAGGAUUUUGUGUGAGAGGGUUCUCACCCUUCACACUCCACCUCCUACAGUUUGCUUAUGCUUUAGCCAUUGGUUUCUCUAAUCAAUCACCACAAAAGGGUAUACAUGGAGGAACAUAAUUCUCUGAGUGGCAUGAAGCAGAGAAGCUAUGGCCACAUCUUAGCAAACCGGCAAGUCACAAAAAGGCAAUGGACUCUCUCUCAUUAAAGGGUCCU
This is a non-coding RNA of Glycine max (soybean), 263 nucleotides long. The record is from Rfam. NCBI's taxonomy places the organism in Eukaryota, Viridiplantae, Streptophyta, Magnoliopsida, Fabales, Fabaceae.